UAGGGAAUCUUGCGCAAUGGAGGAAACUCUGACGCAGCGACGCCGCGUGGGUGAUGAAGGCCUUCGGGUCGUAAAGCCCUGUCGGAGGGGAAGAAACACGGUGGUGCUAAUAUCACUACCGCUUGACGGUACCCUUAAAGGAAGCACCGGCUAACUACGUGCCAGCAGCCGCGGUAAUACGUAGGGUGCAAGCGUUGUUCGGAAUCAUUGGGCGUAAAGCGCGUGUAGGUUGCUAUGUAAGUCGAAUGUGAAAUCCCUGGGCUCAACCGAGGAAGUGCAUCCGAAACUACAUAGCUCGAGAACGGUAGAGGAAGGUGGAAUUCCAAGUGUAGAGGUGAAAUUCGUAGAUAUUUGGAGGAAUACCGGUGGCGAAGGCGGCCUUCUGGACCGGUUCUGACACUGAGACGCGAAAGCGUGGGUAGCAAACAGG
This 430-nucleotide ribosomal RNA is filed under the name uncultured bacterium. Its description in RNAcentral is "bacterial SSU rRNA". It matches the Rfam family "Bacterial small subunit ribosomal RNA", at positions 355 to 776 of the family's 1533-position model. The record is from RNAcentral.